GACGAACGCUGGCGGCGUGCUUAACACAUGCAAGUCGAGCGGUAAGGCCCUUUCGGGGGUACACGAGCGGCGAACGGGUGAGUAACACGUGGGUGACCUGCCCUCAGCUCUGGGAUAAGCCUGGGAAACUGGGUCUAAUACUGGAUAUGACUCCACGGUGCAUGUCGUGGGGUGGAAAGCCUUGUGCGGCUGAGGAUGGGCCCGCGGCCUAUCAGCUUGUUGGUGGGGUGANGGCCUACCAAGGCGACGACGGGUAGCCGGCCUGAGAGGGCGACCGGCCACACUGGGACUGAGACACGGCCCAGACUCCUACGGGAGGCAGCAGUGGGGAAUCUUGCGCAAUGGGCGAAAGCCUGACGCAGCGACGCCGCGUGAGGGAUGAC
RNAcentral lists this ribosomal RNA (383 nucleotides) under uncultured bacterium. RNAcentral's name for it is "bacterial SSU rRNA". It matches the Rfam family "Bacterial small subunit ribosomal RNA", at positions 28 to 412 of the family's 1533-position model. The record is from RNAcentral.